RNAcentral lists this ribosomal RNA (213 nucleotides) under Triticum aestivum (bread wheat). RNAcentral describes it as "partial small subunit ribosomal RNA". Lineage: Eukaryota; Viridiplantae; Streptophyta; Magnoliopsida; Poales; Poaceae. The record is from RNAcentral.
AUGCAAGACUACUUCGACGAGGUACCUACAUACCCUCCUCGCCUCUUCCGCAGAAGGUACCGAAUGCGCCGUAGUCUUUUUGUGAAGAUUGUCACCGAUUGUGAGGCGGCCUCCCAUUAUUUCAAGCGUCGUAGAUCCGCCGCCGGUAUCAUGGGGUUUAGUGCAUACCAAAAGAUAUCGGCGGCAAUGCGGGUACUCGCCUAUGGUUUGUAA